RNAcentral lists this ribosomal RNA (1445 nucleotides) under Staphylococcus aureus. RNAcentral describes it as "partial 23S ribosomal RNA". It matches the Rfam family "Bacterial large subunit ribosomal RNA", at positions 1 to 1500 of the family's 2925-position model. Lineage: Bacteria; Bacillati; Bacillota; Bacilli; Caryophanales; Staphylococcaceae. The record is from RNAcentral.
GGUCAAGUGAAGAAGCGCAUACGGUGGAUGCCUUGGCAGUCAGAGGCGAUGAAAGACGUGGUAGCCUGCGAUAAGCUUUGGGGAGUCGGCAAACAGACUGUGAUCCAGAGAUCUCUGAAUGGGGGAACCCACUCAGCAUAAGCUGAGUAUCUUGUACUGAAUACAUAGGUGCAAGAGGCGAACCAGGGGAACUGAAACAUCUAAGUACCCUGAGGAAAAGAAAUCAACCGAGAUUCCCUUAGUAGUGGCGAGCGAACGGGGACCAGCCCUUAAGUUGAUUUGAGAUUAGUGGAACGCUCUGGAAAGUGCGGCCAUAGUGGGUGAUAGCCCCGUACACGAAAAUCUCUUAUCAAUGAAAUCGAGUAGGACGGAGCACGAGAAACUUUGUCUGAAUAUGGGGGGACCAUCCUCCAAGGCUAAAUACUACUGACUGACCGAUAGUGAACCAGUACCGUGAGGGAAAGGCGAAAAGAACCCCGGAGAGGGGAGUGAAAUAGAACCUGAAACCGUAUGCGUACAAGCAGUGGGAGCCUACUUUGUUAGGUGACUGCGUACCUUUUGUAUAAUGGGUCAGCGACUUAUAUUCAGUGGCGAGCUUAACCGAAUAGGGGAGGCGUAGCGAAAGCGAGUCUUAAUAGGGCGUUUAGUCGCUGGGUAUAGACCCGAAACCGGGCGAUCUAUCCAUGGGCAGGUUGAAGGUUAGGUAACACUGACUGGAGGACCGAACCGACUACCGUUGAAAAGUUAGCGGAUGACCUGUGGAUCGGAGUGAAAGGCUAAUCAAGCUCGGAGAUAGCUGGUUCUCCUCGAAAGCUAUUUAGGUAGCGCCUCAUGUAUCACUGUAGGGGGUAGAGCACUGUUUCGGCUAGGGGGUCAUCCCGACUUACCAAACCGAUGCAAACUCCGAAUACCUACAAGUGCCGAGCAUGGGAGACACACGGCGGGUGCUAACGUCCGUCGUGAAAAGGGAAACAACCCAGACCGUCAGCUAAGGUCCCAAAGUCAUGGUUAAGUGGGAAACGAUGUGGGAAGGCUUAGACAGCUAGGAGGUUGGCUUAGAAGCAGCCACCCUUUAAAGAAAGCGUAAUAGCUCACUAGUCGAGUCGGCCUGCGCGGAAGAUGUAACGGGGCUCAAACCAUGCACCGAAGCUACGGGUAUCACCUUUUGGUGAUGCGGUAGAGGAGCGUUCUGUAAGCCUGUGAAGGUGAGUUGAGAAGCUUGCUGGAGGUAUCAGAAGUGCGAAUGCUGACAUGAGUAACGACAAUGCGAGUGAAAAACUCGCACGCCGAAAGACCAAGGUUUCCUGCGCAACGUUAAUCGACGCAGGGUUAGUCGGUCCCUAAGGCGAGGCUGAAAAGCGUAGUCGAUGGAAAACAGGUUAAUAUUCCUGUACUUCCAGUUAUUGCGAUGGAGGGACGGAGAAGGUUAGGCCAGCCUGGCGUUG